AUGUCACGAGUGCUGAGGUUGAGAAACACGGUGAGGCUGGAAUGACCUAAGCAGACGACAGCCACUUUCAAAGGAGACUAGAAGACAGAGGCCUGAAAGACCACACAGGAGGGAGACAGGCAACCCUCAGGGGCUCCGGACCAAUUCCCCCAACAAAGGGACGUCUUCGUCAAGACCUGAAGCAUGAGGGGUUGUUUUCCAGGCAGGAAGAGCAAAAAUGCUUUUAGCAACAAACUACUGGGAAUGGCACGGUGAAAUACUACAGAAGACACACACCAGGGAUCCCCUUUGAUACUGAUCAUCUCCAUUGCAAAUGACACAUUAUGCAAACCAGAUACACCAAAUGGGCCACGAGGAUGGAGGGGAGGGGAUCAACCCCUCAAAAGAGUCCAAGACCACGUUCUGGUAUCUAAGUCAUCACCUACACACUAACUGUAUGGUCAAGUUCCAACGUGGGAAUAUGUUUUUCUUGAUUACGGUAGGUCCAGUUUCCCUAGAGAUAAAAAUCCAAAUCACAGAAACAAGUGACCAGCCUUUAUCUGCACAUACUAAGUUGCUUUUAUUAAUCCAGAACGGCAUGCUACAGAUACUGUACAGCAUGAACAUUUAUUCAUUACAA
Molecule: long non-coding RNA, 619 nt
Filed under: Homo sapiens (human)
Lineage: Eukaryota; Metazoa; Chordata; Mammalia; Primates; Hominidae
Description: HSALNT0168309
Source: RNAcentral